This is a non-coding RNA of Mus musculus (house mouse), 71 nucleotides long. NCBI's taxonomy places the organism in Eukaryota, Metazoa, Chordata, Mammalia, Rodentia, Muridae. The record is from Rfam.
GCAGAUGUAGCUCAGUUGGUAGAGUGUUUGCCUCGAAUGCCUAGGGCCUGGGUUCAAUGCCCAGCACUGCA